RNAcentral lists this unclassified non-coding RNA (151 nucleotides) under uncultured fungus. RNAcentral's name for it is "sequence contains ITS2". RNAcentral also lists the same sequence under 2 other names. Lineage: Eukaryota; Fungi. The record is from RNAcentral.
ACACCCUCAAGCUCUGCUUGGUGUUGGGCGUCUGUUCCGCCUCCGCGCGGGACUCGCCCCAAAGGCAUUGGCAGCGGUCUCUUGCACCUCUCGCGCAGCACAUUGCGCUUCUCGAGGCGAGGCAGGCCGCGACCACGAAGCCACACAUCGU